GAAAUUUUUAUAUAAUUAUAGGUUAAAUUUUAAUUAUUUAAAAUGUAUAGUUAUAAUUUUAAAUUUUGUUAAUCGAAUUAGAUUAGUACCUAAUUAGUCAAAAGUUAAAAAAGCAGAAGUAAAGUAAAAUUUAAACUGAAAGAAUAUUGGCAGAUUUUCUAAAUUAUCUUUGGAGGUUGAGUAAUAAUUGAGAACCCUCAUUAACUACUUUUUUAGUUGUCUCAUGUAUGAUCGUUUAUUAUAUGCUUAAGGGAUAUAAUUAAAAAUUUUUAUUUAAAAAAAUAGAUAUAUAUUUGGUUUAUAUAAAAGUAAUAUUUGACCUACAGUAAUUUGUAAUUGUGGAUCUAUUUUUUAGUAAAGUAGUGAAAAUGUAAAAGACAGUAAAAAAAUUUUUAUGAUUUUUUGAAGAUUAUUUAG
RNAcentral lists this ribosomal RNA (417 nucleotides) under Uncinaria lucasi. RNAcentral describes it as "partial 12S ribosomal RNA". Lineage: Eukaryota; Metazoa; Nematoda; Chromadorea; Rhabditida; Ancylostomatidae. The record is from RNAcentral.